UAUAUGGUUUAUAGGCACUGAGGCCCAAAUGAUACAUUCUGUUACAUACUACGGGUAUAUGAAAAACAUAGGCUUGGAAGUGCAAAGAAAGCUGACGCAAAGCGACAGCAUUCCUCUUCCAGGUCUACAAGAGGUGCACAGGUGGAGAGAUGGAGAUGGCGGGUGUGCACAUGCCCCCGAGAGGGCCAGCAACAACCACGCCAAGUUCAUUCAAUAAUGAUCCUUCCGCAGGUUCACCUACGGAAA
This 246-nucleotide unclassified non-coding RNA is filed under the name uncultured fungus. RNAcentral describes it as "sequence contains ITS1". The record is from RNAcentral. Lineage: Eukaryota; Fungi.